Haliotis rubra (blacklip abalone) is the source of this 883-nucleotide long non-coding RNA. RefSeq lists it as uncharacterized. The transcript has 2 exons. Lineage: Eukaryota; Metazoa; Mollusca; Gastropoda; Lepetellida; Haliotidae. The record is from RefSeq and is a predicted model, not a curated record.
UACUCAGUGCAAUAAACAGCUUAUUUCUUACAAAAUGUAAUAUAUCUUCAAUAAAAUAAUGUGCUGGGAAAUAUGAAAAUGUCCUGAAUAGUUCAACUGCGCUGUGCACUGUGUGAGUGUUUUGCAAUUACGCUCACGAAGCAAUUUGAUACACGUGACAUAGUAUAUAACACCCUGGAUAGCCAGCCAGCCGGUAUUUAGUACUGGGUCGACAUCGAUUGAACAUCACAUCAAAGUGCCUGGAGUUUUCAGAAUCAAUAUGAGUUUGCAGUCGAAAACCACCAGUUCCGUUUCAAGGUAAUGUGCGUCUGCUGAUCAAACCACUGGCGGAGACAUUGGACCAUGCAUUGUCGGGAGUCAUCCCGGGUGUAUAUACGCCCCCGGUGAAGGUCUGAAAAACAGGGUCGAGGUGUACAUCGCCGAGUCUCACCCAGGGUGUAGAUACGCCUCAAAUGAGGAUCCAAACACUUUUUCUGGGAGGAUGGUCGCUGAGUCUCACCCAGGGUGUAGGAUGGUCCGUACAUUGCAGGGUCUCACCCAGGGUGUAGAUACGCCCCUUACAAAGGUCAAGCAAACUAAGCACCUUUACAAAUCUGACUUCUUUCAUGCCGGUCAUAUGAAUUUGAUUACGUGGCUACGCAACUUUUUACAAAUUGACAUUUAAACAAAACCUAUUUCCAUGGACACUUAUAAUUUCGCCGACGUGAACACCUUAUUCCACGAGUAAACUAUAUGUCUUGAUAAGUGGCUGUAUUGAACGAUUACCGAAAACCACUGCAUUUGAACUGAUAUAUUAACUGAUAUAUUAACUGAUAUAUUAUCAGAACAUGAGAAUUAUACACGAACAAAUAAUUGUAAAGUAUAUAAUAAAUUGGAGUCUUCA